GAGCCUGGCAGCUGGGGACUUCCUGGAGGAGGCAUAUGCAAGCUGGGUCAUGAAGGAUGAGCAGGAUUUAGACAAUGGCAGAAGAAGGGAGGGAAUUCUGAGAGGAGAGAGCCCUGUGGGCAAUGACCUGGAGGCUGAAAGGCACAGAGCAUAUUCCAUCCUGGCCAGUAUAAGGUGCAUGGGGAGAAGCAGGAAGAGGGUUACCUAGAAGGACCCCAACACCAGGCUGAGGAGUAUAGUGUGCUGAAAUGAAGGAUCCAGUGAAUGUGGCAUACAUACGUUUACGAUCUUUUCACUCCAGAACAUUGAUAGCCAGUCCAGUACCUUCCAAACAGAUCAGAAGGGUCUACCCUGGGGAAUUCAGCACACCCUGGGGGCUCCGACCCGGGGGCUGCGGGAAGUGAGGGCCACUUGGAAGGGCCUUUUCACCUCAGUGUGCUCAGCUGUCAAAUGGAUGGUAUUGGUGUCUGCCUAGGGGAGUCGCUGUGAA
This 490-nucleotide long non-coding RNA is filed under the name Homo sapiens (human). RNAcentral's name for it is "non-protein coding lnc-RUNX3-3:2". The record is from RNAcentral. Lineage: Eukaryota; Metazoa; Chordata; Mammalia; Primates; Hominidae.